AUCUACAGGCGUAUUCCCCUGAAUGCUUUCAAUCUUGUCUAAUCUCAGAAGUUAAGCAGAGUUGAGCCUGGUUACUACUUGGAUGGAAGACUGCCUGGGAAUACUAGGUGUCGGGGGCUU
This is a ribosomal RNA of Cercocebus atys (sooty mangabey), 120 nucleotides long. Lineage: Eukaryota; Metazoa; Chordata; Mammalia; Primates; Cercopithecidae. The record is from Ensembl.